AUUUAGUUUUACAACUAUUUGUUUUACAUUAACAAAUUCAAACAGCUGGAUACUAGAACAGACUUCAUUCACCAAGUUAGUAUAUUGUUUAGAUUAUUAACAAAUGGUUAGAAGUCUUAAAAUCCACUUAUUUUCUAAUGACUUUUCAGUGUUACAAUGCAAAUAUAACUGUGAAGUUUUAUUUAAAGUUUAAACUUUUUGUUUUAAGACUUCUGGAAGUUUAUAUUCAUUUCUCCCAGAUUGCCUUUUAAGGCUACUGUACACUAUAGCCCAAAGAAAGCUGCCUUUCACCUCCUUAGUCUGAGAAAAAGCCCACACUUAAAGGCUUAUUCUGAAAUUAACUCUCGUUUCAGUAGUGAAAAUAUGCUAAAAAUCCUAUUUAUCAUUGAAUUAUUUUGGAAAGGCAUUGUUAAUCUUGUUUGCUUUUUAGAUACACAUAUAAAGUAGAGAAGCUGGCAAAUAAGGGCAAAAGUUUUAUACAUAUAUAAUGAAUAGCAUAAAACAAGUACAUAUUUAUGUGGAGAGAUCUAGGUCCCAGUAAUUUGCUGAUUUGACCUUAAAAUUCCCAGUUUAAGUGUACAAAUGAGAUUCAACUUGUGUUCUGUCUGGAAACUUCAUCAGUUGCCUCUGCGCUGGGUAACUAAGAAGUCAGUUCUUGGUGGCAGUCACUUUUUCAGAAAAACAGGGCACUUCCAAACUCAAAUCAUUCGGAAUCCCUGUAUAUAGACGUCUAGGACGGAGGGCAAGAAAAUUUAGACUGCAAGUCGGGAUAGGAAGGCGGGAAGUUGGGAUACGAAGGCGGGAAGUUGGGAUAGGAAGGCGGGGCAGUUUCGAGUCUUAGUCUUCUGUCCUGGGGGCAGCAAUCAGCACGGAAGAAAGGCAGGGACUGGCAGGGGGGGUGGGUGGGGCCCUCAUCGUAUUCUCAUUGGCCUUGUUGCUGCCUUGAGUUUUCAUUAGGGAGCAGGGGCUUGGUUUGACGCAAGGUAAACUCUUGAGGAAGAGCAGCAGCCCUUCUAGAUCGGAUUGUACCAGAUCUUAGCCUCAGUUUACAAGUGAAACAUAAUGUCCCACUCCAUUCUCUGUGGAGAGCCUGCUACUGAGCCUUUUUGUCCCUGGAGGCGCUGGGGUCUAUCCAGAGUCCUGAUUGCUACUGUUCGAGCCUGGAGGAGUUACUGCUUCUUCACACGUGUAUUUCUGUGCAGUUCAAAGUGCUUCAAAAGUUCCUGUGUCCCCUUCUCAAUAGACUUUGGGACAGGGGAAGGAGUGCAGAAAAAAUCAACACGGAAAGAGUACUACAGGGUACUAGAGGUUGCCUCCCAAAUAAGGGGAAGUUCUUUAUGGGGCCCAAAGUCUGGGUUUUUAUCUCUUGGUGUGGAGCCUUCCCUUCAGAGAGCCAUUUCAGGGACCACUGGACAUAGGUGGGUGGUUCUGAGACGGGUGCACAGGACAGCGCCUGUUUGCUCCUUGGUGGCCAGGUGCUUCUUGUUUCUUUUCAGUAGGAAGUCGCAAACUUCAGCCCAGGGCUGAAGUAGCUAAUGCUGAGUAGAAUGGGGCUCUUUCUAAGAGAAAAAGGAAGCUGUGAAUACCUAGCAGGCAAGUUUGUUCAGGAGGUGAAGAGAUAUGGUAAGGGGGGCUUUGAGGGUUCAGGAAUCAGCAAGGCUUAUUCCCUAGCCUGCUCUUGGUUUCUUGAUCGUUAGUCCACUCUUUUCUAGGAAGCUGGGCAAUCAUAUUCCCAGUUGUCCCUCGGGCUAAGAGUGAGGGAGGCAAGUCUCCUUACUUUUGGGGGAAGCGGGAGAUGCUCAAUGGGAAUAGAACCCACAAAUGGAAUAGGUAUACUUUUCUCAGGAUAGAGGCAACGAUCUGUGCUUGAGAAAGCCAGGGGCAGAGCUGUGUGAUCUGUGUCUCUCAGCUGCCUGUAGAAGGUGAUGGGGGAGAGAGUGGGCGCAUUGGCAGGGGGGGGUCCCCUGGAGAUAGGCCUUAGCUUUCCCCAGAGUGCCAGGGCUGCAGACUGCAGUGAGAGAGUACAAGCACUCAAUACCUAUCUGGAAAUAAGCCCUAGGUUAUACGUCAGGUCUAGUAAAAGAGAAAUCAGGUAUCUCUGAGCUCCUCUACUCCUGAGCCCCUAAUACCAGAGAAGAUCCUUUUUAGCUAUCACCGUCCAAAGACUCACUGGUUAAUUAAUGGUCAGCAACUUAGCUGUCUGCAUAAAAACCAGCGACCACUUAAUAUGUUACUUUUGGGAGUGGGAUCUCUCCUUGACACAAGUUUCUGGGAAGAGUAAAAGGGGCAAGCGAACCUGCUUUAAUGAAUCCCGUAAGGAACUGCGUUUCCCAGGAAAUUCCUGACAUUUUUAGCUCAUGAAUUUCCGAAAGCCUGCUUGGUUUUCUCCUCCAUUCUGGGUCCUUCCAGAAAGGAAGAAGAGUGGGCUAGGGUCUGAA
RNAcentral lists this long non-coding RNA (2438 nucleotides) under Homo sapiens (human). RNAcentral describes it as "HSALNT0095223". The record is from RNAcentral. Lineage: Eukaryota; Metazoa; Chordata; Mammalia; Primates; Hominidae.